RNAcentral lists this ribosomal RNA (468 nucleotides) under uncultured bacterium. RNAcentral describes it as "partial 16S ribosomal RNA". It matches the Rfam family "Bacterial small subunit ribosomal RNA", at positions 28 to 507 of the family's 1533-position model. The record is from RNAcentral.
GACGAACGCUGGCGGCGUGCUUAACACAUGCAAGUCGAACGGAAAGGCCCUGCUUUUGUGGGGUGCUCGAGUGGCGAACGGGUGAGUAACACGUGAGUAACCUGCCCUUGACUUUGGGAUAACUUCAGGAAACUGGGGCUAAUACCGGAUAGGAGCUCCUGCUGCAUGGUGGGGGUUGGAAAGUUUCGGCGGUUGGGGAUGGACUCGCGGCUUAUCAGCUUGUUGGUGGGGUAGUGGCUUACCAAGGCUUUGACGGGUAGCCGGCCUGAGAGGGUGACCGGCAACAUGGGGACUGAGACAGGGCCGAGCCUCCUACGGGAGGAAGAGGGGGGAAAUAUGCCACAGGGGGGGGAGGCCUGGGGCGGCAACGCCGGGUGGGGGAUGACGGCCUGGGGGUUGUAAACCGCUUUCGCCGGGGAGGAAGGGUGAGGGACGGUAAUGGGUAAAGAAGCCCCGGCUAACUACGUG